Molecule: ribosomal RNA, 253 nt
Filed under: uncultured bacterium
Lineage: Bacteria
Description: partial 16S ribosomal RNA
Rfam family: Bacterial small subunit ribosomal RNA
Source: RNAcentral
GACGAACCGUGCGAACGUUGUUCGGAAUCACUGGGCUUAAAGGGCGCGUAGGCGGGUGUGCAAGUCUGUGGUGAAAGCCUCCAGCUUAACUGGAGAAGUGCCAUGGAUACUGCACAUCUUGAGGAGGGUAGGGGCAUCUGGAACGGUCGGUGGAGCGGUGAAGUGCGCAGAUAUCAGGAAGAACACCCGUGGCUAAGGCGGCUCUCUAGUACGGUACUGACGCUGAGACGCGAAAGCGUGGGGAGCGAACAGG